RNAcentral lists this ribosomal RNA (489 nucleotides) under uncultured bacterium. RNAcentral's name for it is "partial 16S ribosomal RNA". It matches the Rfam family "Bacterial small subunit ribosomal RNA", at positions 30 to 507 of the family's 1533-position model. The record is from RNAcentral.
UUGAACGCUGGCGGCAGGCCUAACACAUGCAAGUCGAACGGUAACAGGAAGCAGCUUGCUGCUUUGCUGACGAGUGGCGGACGGGUGAGUAAUGUCUGGGAAACUGCCUGAUGGAGGGGGAUAACUACUGGAAACGGUAGCUAAUACCGCAUAACGUCGCAAGACCAAAGAGGGGGACCUUCGGGCCUCUUGCCAUCGGAUGUGCCCAGAUGGGAUUAGCUAGUAGGUGGGGUAACGGCUCACCUAGGCGACGAUCCCUAGCUGGUCUGAGAGGAUGACCAGCCACACUGGAACUGAGACACGGUCCAGACUCCUACGGGAGGCAGCAGUGGGGAAUAUUGCACAAUGGGCGCAAGCCUGAUGCAGCCAUGCCGAGUGUAUGAAGAAGGCCUUCGGGUUGUAAAGUACUUUCAGCGGGGAGGAAGGGAGUAAAGUUAAUACCUUUGCUCAUUGACGUUACCCGCAGAAGAAGCACCGGCUAACUCCGUG